AAAUAAGAAGCAAANAUUUGCAUUUAGUUUCGACCUAAAAAUUUGANUUUUAWAAUCCUUAUUUA
This 65-nucleotide transfer RNA is filed under the name Adalia bipunctata (two-spotted ladybird beetle). RNAcentral's name for it is "tRNA-Arg". Lineage: Eukaryota; Metazoa; Arthropoda; Insecta; Coleoptera; Coccinellidae. The record is from RNAcentral.